Molecule: long non-coding RNA, 1365 nt
Organism: Acinonyx jubatus (cheetah)
Lineage: Eukaryota; Metazoa; Chordata; Mammalia; Carnivora; Felidae
Exons: 5
Source: RefSeq, a predicted model, not a curated record
UUUCCAAGUCGGACCCAUUCUUGCCUGCACCCGGUCGGGUUUCCAAGUUGAACCCUUUCCGGCCCUGGACCCGGUCCGGCUUCCAAGUGGACCCAGUACGACUCGGCCAGUUUCCGGACCCAGUCCGGAGAAAGAAAGGCUGAGAGAAAAGUCUGGAAGCUCCUAAAGCGAAAGCUGCGGAGGAUCCUGAGGAUUUACCCAGAACCUCCUGGGGCAGCUGGACAGCAGGGGGCGGCAGGGCCUCAGCCGGUACCCAAGUUUGCUUCCGCCUGCGGGUAAUGGGUGUCUCCUUCCGUUCCAUCUCAUUACACCAGAAUUGUUAAAAGGCCUUAACAGCCUCAGCGAAGAACUGAAGCUGCCCUGAAGAGACUCUGCUUGUAGGUGUCAGCCUCACCAUGUGCUGAGGAGGUCCAUCCUGCUCUUCAGGCUUCAGACUUGCUUUUCCAGCCUAUACAAUCAUAGUUGAUGGAUGGCCAUAUUUUCGAGGCUAAUAUGUAUCUGUCACAGAUUAACACAGGAGAGUGAUACAAAUAUACUCUAAAGCACGGGGAAGUGUUGGUUUUGGAAAUCCUGGAAUCAUCACUUUCUGGCUUGAAAACCCCAUGAAGCAGAGAAAUCAGUUACUACUUGUCCUUGGAUCUUCAAGCAAGAAGCUGUUUGAAUUGAAACAUCAUGCCUUUGGUUGCUGCUAAGCAUCUCUCUGACAUGCGAAGUAAUCAAGACCUUCUGGUGAAACCAGUUCCCUCAUCAGGGUUCAGCAUGAUUGAUGGUGAUGUAAGGCUACAUUGCUCAUGGAAUUUCAAGGAGCUAUGGCAUGUUUAUGCUGAAAGGUAAAGGAGAAAGGUCACUCUAAUCCCAUAAGAAUCUGACUCCCAGCACGGGUAGUGUUGGGGACAUAAAACUGGUAUUUGAUAACUUUUUAUUAAAGCAAUAAAUGAAUGAAUCUAUGAGGGGAUGAAUAAGUUAACAAAUAUAGAAGUGUUGCAGGCCCAUAUAUCCUUAAUCCCAGUCAGGUGUCUUUAGAAUGGGUAGGCUCUGUCAUGAAAGUUACUAUUAAAUAAGAAAAGUCCAGAGCAGGUUCAGCAAAUAUGUUAGAACUACUGUCAUUCCUAAGACACAGUUAAUCUAUCAGGAUACUCAUUUUAAUCAAAGGAAUUUUGGAAUGUUAUUUCUCAAUACAGUUCUCCAGGCAGCCACUACUAAUCAAUCAGAGUUGGCAAAAGAAAGUCAAAUGUUUAUUUUUGAAGGUCUAAACAAAUUAGUACAAUCCCAACACUAUUAGUUAAAAAUAAAGAGCCUCCUAUUGUUUUACCUUUCAGUAGUAUAUUUUGUAGUAGCCAUUUGUUCUACUCAUUAUUUACUCAA